CCCUUAGAUGUUCUGGGCUGCACGCGCGCUACACUGAAACGUUCAACGAGUAUUCACCUUGCCCGGGAGGGUUGGGUAAUCUUUUGAAAACGCUUCGUGAUGGGGAUAGAUUAUUGCAAUUAUUAAUCUUCAACGAGGAAUUCCUAGUAAGCGCGAGUCAUCAGCUCGUGCUGAUUACGUCCCUGCCCUUUGUACACACCGCCCGUCGCUCCUACCGAUUGAGCGAUCCGGUGAAUAAUUCGGACUGCAGCACUGCUUGGUCUCCAGGAUUUGCAGCGGAAAGUUUAGUGAACCUUAUCACUUAGAGGAAGGAGAAGUCGUAACA
Molecule: ribosomal RNA, 325 nt
Filed under: uncultured eukaryote
Lineage: Eukaryota
Description: partial 18S ribosomal RNA
Rfam family: Eukaryotic small subunit ribosomal RNA
Source: RNAcentral